RNAcentral lists this ribosomal RNA (443 nucleotides) under uncultured bacterium. Its description in RNAcentral is "partial 16S ribosomal RNA". It matches the Rfam family "Bacterial small subunit ribosomal RNA", at positions 338 to 795 of the family's 1533-position model. The record is from RNAcentral.
CCUACGGGUGGCAGCAGUGGGGAAUAUUGGGCAAUGGGCGCAAGCCUGACCCAGCAACGCCGCGUGAAGGAAGAAGGCUUUCGGGUUGUAAACUUCUUUUGUCAGGGACGAAGCAAGUGACGGUACCUGACGAAUAAGCCACGGCUAACUACGUGCCAGCCGCCGCGGUAAUCCGUAGGUGGCAGUCGUUAUCCGGAUUUAUUUGGUGUAAAGGGCGUGUAGGCAGGAAGGCAAGUCAGAUGUGAAAACUAUGGGCUAAACCCAUAGCCUGCAGUUGAAACUGUCUUUCUUGAGUGCUGGAGAGGCAAGCGGAAUUCCGUGUGUAGCGGUGAAAUGCGUAGAUAUACGGAGGAACACCAGUGGCGAAGGCGGAUUGCUGGAGAGUAACUGACGCUGAGGCGCGAAAGCGUGGGGAGCAAACAGGAUUAGAUACCCUAGUAGUC